GAUGAAGAACGCAGCGAAAUGCGAUACGUAGUGUGAAUUGCAGAAUUCAGUGAGUCAUCGAAUCUUUGAACGCACAUUGCACCUCUCGGUAUUCCGGGAGGUAUGCCUGUUCGAGCGUCAUUUGUACCCUCAAGCUCUGCUUGGUGUUGGGUGUUUGUUCCGCCUCUGUGUGUGAACUCGCCUCAAAACAAUUGGCAGCCGGCGUACUUGUUUCGGAGCGCAGCACAUUUUGCGAUCCAGAUCAACGUACAGCGGCAUCCAAGAAGCCUUAUUUAACGCUCUUGACCUCGGAUCAGGUAGGGAUACCCGCUGAACUUAAGCAUAUCAAUAAGCGGAGGA
This 339-nucleotide unclassified non-coding RNA is filed under the name soil metagenome. RNAcentral's name for it is "partial contains 5.8S ribosomal RNA, internal transcribed spacer 2, and large subunit ribosomal RNA". The stretch from base 1 to 120 matches the Rfam family "5.8S ribosomal RNA", at positions 35 to 154 of the family's 154-position model. The record is from RNAcentral.